UGUUUUUCCAAAAGACAGCUAUGGUGGACAGGUGGAAGUGUGGGGUUUCGAGCCACUCUGAUAGCUAACAAUUAUUGAAACAAACAAGGGACCCCGAUACUGUCAAGGUUGCUAGGCAACAGGAGCGGCGCUGCUUGACAUAGGGCAUCACGACUUCAGAUAAAUCCUGAUCGACCUUCAGGAUCGUGACUCACAAAGCAACUUGCUUGCAGCUGGUGGACAUCUCAAAUCCUCAGCUUGUAAAAGCAAAACCUGCACGGCUGAGAUCUGGAGCAAUGCCAUUUUCAUUUUACACUCAAUCGCUCGGUGAAUGGAGCAUUUGGCUCCAUCUGCUGCAGUUUGUCUGGACUAUAGCACACACUUUUUGGAUGCAGUUCUCCAACACAGAAGAAAUCCAUGGCAAUGUGUUAAGCAAAUAAACAAAUGCACUUC
Acanthopagrus latus (yellowfin seabream) is the source of this 432-nucleotide long non-coding RNA. RefSeq lists it as uncharacterized. The transcript is spliced from 3 exons. The record is from RefSeq and is a predicted model, not a curated record. Lineage: Eukaryota; Metazoa; Chordata; Actinopteri; Spariformes; Sparidae.